AUUGAACGCUGGCGGCAUGUCUUACACAUGCAAGUCGAACGGCAGCACGGGGCAACCUGGUGGCGAGUGGCGAACGGGUGAGUAAUGCAUCGGAACGUACCUUUCAGUGGAGGAUAACGUAGCGAAAGUUACGCUAAUACCGCAUAUUCUGUGAGCAGGAAAGCAGGGGAUCGCAAGACCUUGCGCUGAUUGAGCGGCCGAGGUCAGAUUAGCUAGUUGGUGAGGUAAAGGCUAACCAAGGCGACGAUCUGUAGCGGGUCUGAGAGGAUGAUCCGCCACACUGGAACUGAGACACGGUCCAGACUCCUACGGGAGGCAGCAGUGGGGAAUUUUGGACAAUGGGGGCAACCCUGAUCCAGCCAUGCCGCGUAAGUGAAGAAGGCCUUCGGGUUGUAAAGCUCUUUCGGCCGGGAAGAAAUCGCACGGGCUAAUACCCUGUGUGGAUGACGGUACCGGAAUAAGAAGCACCGGCUAACUACGUGCCAGCAGCCGCCGUAA
Molecule: ribosomal RNA, 498 nt
Filed under: uncultured bacterium
Lineage: Bacteria
Description: partial 16S ribosomal RNA
Rfam family: Bacterial small subunit ribosomal RNA
Source: RNAcentral